ACACGUUGGCCACGAGUGUGUGGCGCAGUUCGAUCUCAAGCAAGCAACGGGGCUUGAGA
Synechococcus sp. RS9916 is the source of this 59-nucleotide non-coding RNA. The record is from Rfam. Lineage: Bacteria; Bacillati; Cyanobacteriota; Cyanophyceae; Synechococcales; Synechococcaceae.